This 1828-nucleotide long non-coding RNA is filed under the name Linum usitatissimum (flax). RNAcentral's name for it is "long non-coding RNA (LUSI_LNC002742)". Lineage: Eukaryota; Viridiplantae; Streptophyta; Magnoliopsida; Malpighiales; Linaceae. The record is from RNAcentral.
CCAUAUUAAAUAAGGGAGACUCUACUGUAAUAAUUAAUCUCACCUUGAACGGUAAUUUGUUAUAACUUUUUUUCCCACAAUCUGAUAUGCGAUUAGUCGCCAAAGUCAUUUUCGCUCAAGCGCUGUUCUAAGAGUUGUUGGUUUCUUCCAUUCUUGGAAGCUUUUCUUCCAACGAUUCAUCAUUCUACGAUGCCCCCUGCGUUUGUUUCUUGCCCGAUCGACUCUCAAUUUCAUCAUGGUUCACCUUCUCCAACCUUCUCAGGCGCCAAUCGUGGAUGUCGACCACCCUUUCUUUAUGGGAUCUGACGAGAUCCCUACAUUCUUGAUUGUCCAGGUUUUACUUUCCUGUGCCUCCAAUUACUAUUCGUGAGCAAAUCUUGUUCGUGCUAAUGACCUCCAUGACCAAAUCUCAUCAUUCUGACAAGGAAUCCUCUCCAUUUCUGCUUAUUAUACACGUUUCUAGGUUCUGUGGUACGAAUACGUGAUGUUUUGUCCCGUCCCGACGUGUUCUUGCCAGCUUCGUUGUUCUUGUAAUGCUUUGGUACGUGUGAGGGAGUUUCUGAUCUGAGCAGAUUAUGAGAUUUUUUGAGGCCUCAAUCCCCCUUUUGCCUCCGCUUAGAUAUUUUACCAACAGUCAAUAGCGUCUUCACCGUGAUCUCUCGGGAGGAGGAUUCCAUAUCUGCUCUUCCCAAUCCGAGUUUGACUUACUCUGCUUCAAGUGGCUCUGCUUCACACAUUCUUGUUGCUUACGCACCAUCGCUGUUCAAGAAAGAAACAGUCCCAUGUGUAGACAUUGUGCUAUGAUUGGCUACAUUGGGGACGAGUGCUACAACAGGAUUGGUUACAUUCUAACAGUAGACAAAUGAAAACCGCCGUUAGUUUAACAGUGGUCAGAAAUCUGUUGUUAGCUGCUCCAUUUCUUGUACUGACAGUGCCACCAGAGGAAAGUCUACCAUCAAUGCGUCGCCAUCUACUUUCCUUGAUGAUGGAAUUCCACCUAGAGAUAUUGGUGUCGUUUCGAUCACUCAAGCGCAAUAUCAAACUUUGUAUUGUCUCUUCCAAGGGCAUAGGUAGGCUAUUGAUGCUCUAGAUCCGGCUCCUAGGUCCAUUCAUUACAUCAGCACCUCUGAACCAUCUUCCAGCCGUCUUCAAUAUUCAACCUCUUCUCUGACCACCCAACCAUUGGCUUCUCCAUCCAUUGUUCCGUCCUAUCAUCCUUUCUCAGCCAUUUGAUGAUCCAUAUGUUUCUCGCCAGUCGUUCCUUUGGGUCGUUGAUUCCAGUGCCACGGAUCACGUCAUAUGCUCUCUCAAAUUGUUUGAUACAUAUUAUUCAGUGUGUAAUCGCAUGGUUUUUCUCCCUAAUGGGAUUUCUGUUGCCAUUACCCAUGUAGGAAUUGUCACUUGAGUCCAUAUCUUUGUGUUAACAUGUCUUAUAUAUCCUUGCCUUUACAUUCAAGUUACUAUCCAUUAGCAAGAUGGUUGAACAACUCCCUUAAGUUGUUGUGUUUUCUUUUGCUUCAUGUGUGAAACAGGACGCCAACACUUCAAGGACAAUUGUUUAGCUGAAUCAGAAUGGGUCUUCGGUAGUCCUCAUGUUCUUCACCUCAUUCUAUCACUACAUUGAUGGCUUCUACAUCUCUUUUUUUUUAUCACUGACAUGUUCGAUUAGGACACAGUUCAUUGGGAAUUCUAGCUAGGAAUUUUUGUCCAAAACAUUUUACGGAUUUUCAUUGUAAAGUUUGUCCUUUGGCAUAAACUUCCACAAUUUUCCAACACUACAGGAAUCUUCCUUUCUAAAAGCACAUGUUUAACGGAGGAAAGAAAAUGG